AUUGAACGCUGGCGGCAGGCCUAACACAUGCAAGUCGAGCGAGCGGCGGAGGGGCGAGUAAUGGAUGGGGAUCUGCCUGAUCGAGGGGGCUGACUGGUGGAACAGGUAGCUAAUGCCGCAUACGAUCCUAUGGACCCAUAUGGGAUUAGCGAGUGGGUGAGGUAACGGCUCACCUAGGCGACGAUCCCUAGCUGGUCUGAGAGGAUGAUCAGCCACACUGGGACUGAGACACGGCCCAGACUCCUACGGGAGGCAGCAGUGGGGAAUAUUGCACAAUGGGCGCAAGCCUGAUGCAGCCAUGCCGCGUGUAUGAAGAAGGCCUUCGGGUUGUAAAGUACUGUCAGUCGGGAGGCGUUACCGACAGAAGAAGCACCGGCUAACUCCGUGCCAGCAGCCGCGGUAAUAC
This 406-nucleotide ribosomal RNA is filed under the name uncultured bacterium. RNAcentral describes it as "partial 16S ribosomal RNA". It matches the Rfam family "Bacterial small subunit ribosomal RNA", at positions 29 to 526 of the family's 1533-position model. The record is from RNAcentral.